RNAcentral lists this ribosomal RNA (496 nucleotides) under uncultured bacterium. RNAcentral describes it as "partial 16S ribosomal RNA". It matches the Rfam family "Bacterial small subunit ribosomal RNA", at positions 28 to 506 of the family's 1533-position model. The record is from RNAcentral.
GACGAACGCUGGCGGCGUGCCUAAUACAUGCAAGUAGAACGCUGAAGCGAGGAGCUUGCUCUUCUUGGAUGAGUUGCGAACGGGUGAGUAACGCGUAGGUAACCUGCCUUGUAGCGGGGGAUAACUAUUGGAAACGAUAGCUAAUACCGCAUAACAAUGGAUGACACAUGUCAUUUAUUUGAAAGGGGCAAUUGUUCCACUACAAGAUGGACCUGCGUUGUAUUAGCUAGUAGGUGAGGUAAUGGCUCACCUAGGCGACGAUACAUAGCCGACCUGAGAGGGUGAUCGGCCACACUGGGACUGAGACACGGCCCAGACUCCUACGGGAGGCAGCAGUAGGGAAUCUUCGGCAAUGGGGGCAACCCUGACCGAGCAACGCCGCGUGAGUGAAGAAGGUUUUCGGAUCGUAAAGCUCUGUUGUAAGUCAAGAACGGGUGUGAGAGUGGAAAGUUCACACUGUGACGGGAGCUUACCAGAAAGGGACGGCUAACUACGU